This is a long non-coding RNA of Papilio machaon (common yellow swallowtail), 415 nucleotides long. RefSeq lists it as uncharacterized. The record is from RefSeq and is a predicted model, not a curated record. The transcript is spliced from 3 exons. NCBI's taxonomy places the organism in Eukaryota, Metazoa, Arthropoda, Insecta, Lepidoptera, Papilionidae.
GCGUCAGUGUACGCUCGGACGUUGCGCGUGCGCGUCUCUGCCUAGUUUGUUCUGUUGACUGUGUUAGAGCGCAUGUGAGCUUUGGAUAUUGAAAUGGACGCUAAAGAAAAACAGGUUGGUGGGUAGCCUGGCUGCGUCACUCGCUCUGCUAGUGAUGGAAUUUGUCACCUUCAUCCUGGGACUAACCAUGUUCUCUUCAUCCGUCUCACUGACUUCAAUCGGUUGUCAUGGCUUCGCCUCUAUCGCUCUGACCUACAUUAUUCUAGACGGCUGGAUGUGCGACUGGUUUUGGGUCGUGUUUGUUCUCUGUUCAGUGCUACCAUCCUUGGUUGAUUUUAUUUCUGCCGCCUGUACCUUUUGUUCAAUGAAGUGGUGAUAUUAAUUAUAUAUGUGAUAGAAGUAUGACUUUUGGAUU